This 3162-nucleotide ribosomal RNA is filed under the name Saccharomyces cerevisiae (brewer's yeast). It matches the Rfam family "Bacterial large subunit ribosomal RNA". The record is from RNAcentral. Lineage: Eukaryota; Fungi; Ascomycota; Saccharomycetes; Saccharomycetales; Saccharomycetaceae.
AAUCAUGGAGUAUAAUAAUUAAAUUUAAUAAAUUUAAUAUAACUAUUAAUAGAAUUAGGUUACUAAUAAAUUAAUAACAAUUAAUUUUAAAACCUAAAGGUAAACCUUUAUAUUAAUAAUGUUUUUUUUUUAUUAUUUUUUAUAAUAAGAAUAAUUAUUAAUAAUAAUAAACUAAGUGAACUGAAACAUCUAAGUAACUUAAGGAUAAGAAAUCAACAGAGAUAUUAUGAGUAUUGGUGAGAGAAAAUAAUAAAGGUCUAAUAAGUAUUAUGUGAAAAAAAUGUAAGAAAAUAGGAUAACAAAUUCUAAGACUAAAUACUAUUAAUAAGUAUAGUAAGUACCGUAAGGGAAAGUAUGAAAAUGAUUAUUUUAUAAGCAAUCAUGAAUAUAUUAUAUUAUAUUAAUGAUGUACCUUUUGUAUAAUGGGUCAGCAAGUAAUUAAUAUUAGUAAAACAAUAAGUUAUAAAUAAAUAGAAUAAUAUAUAUAUAUAUAAAAAUAUAUUAAAAUAUUUAAUUAAUAUUAAUUGACCCGAAAGCAAACGAUCUAACUAUGAUAAGAUGGAUAAACGAUCGAACAGGUUGAUGUUGCAAUAUCAUCUGAUUAAUUGUGGUUAGUAGUGAAAGACAAAUCUGGUUUGCAGAUAGCUGGUUUUCUAUGAAAUAUAUGUAAGUAUAGCCUUUAUAAAUAAUAAUUAUUAUAUAAUAUUAUAUUAAUAUUAUAUAAAGAAUGGUACAGCAAUUAAUAUAUAUUAGGGAACUAUUAAAGUUUUAUUAAUAAUAUUAAAUCUCGAAAUAUUUAAUUAUAUAUAAUAAAGAGUCAGAUUAUGUGCGAUAAGGUAAAUAAUCUAAAGGGAAACAGCCCAGAUUAAGAUAUAAAGUUCCUAAUAAAUAAUAAGUGAAAUAAAUAUUAAAAUAUUAUAAUAUAAUCAGUUAAUGGGUUUGACAAUAACCAUUUUUUAAUGAACAUGUAACAAUGCACUGAUUUAUAAUAAAUAAAAAAAAAAUAAUAUUUAAAAUCAAAUAUAUAUAUAUUUGUUAAUAGAUAAUAUACGGAUCUUAAUAAUAAGAAUUAUUUAAUUCCUAAUAUGGAAUAUUAUAUUUUUAUAAUAAAAAUAUAAAUACUGAAUAUCUAAAUAUUAUUAUUACUUUUUUUUUAAUAAUAAUAAUAUGGUAAUAGAACAUUUAAUGAUAAUAUAUAUUAGUUAUUAAUUAAUAUAUGUAUUAAUUAAAUAGAGAAUGCUGACAUGAGUAACGAAAAAAAGGUAUAAACCUUUUCACCUAAAACAUAAGGUUUAACUAUAAAAGUACGGCCCCUAAUUAAAUUAAUAAGAAUAUAAAUAUAUUUAAGAUGGGAUAAUCUAUAUUAAUAAAAAUUUAUCUUAAAAUAUAUAUAUUAUUAAUAAUUAUAUUAAUAAUAUAUAUAAUUAUAUUAUAUAUUUUUUUUAUAUAAUAUAAACUAAUAAAGAUCAGGAAAUAAUUAAUGUAUACCGUAAUGUAGACCGACUCAGGUAUGUAAGUAGAGAAUAUGAAGGUGAAUUAGAUAAUUAAAGGGAAGGAACUCGGCAAAGAUAGCUCAUAAGUUAGUCAAUAAAGAGUAAUAAGAACAAAGUUGUACAACUGUUUACUAAAAACACCGCACUUUGCAGAAACGAUAAGUUUAAGUAUAAGGUGUGAACUCUGCUCCAUGCUUAAUAUAUAAAUAAAAUUAUUUAACGAUAAUUUAAUUAAAUUUAGGUAAAUAGCAGCCUUAUUAUGAGGGUUAUAAUGUAGCGAAAUUCCUUGGCCUAUAAUUGAGGUCCCGCAUGAAUGACGUAAUGAUACAACAACUGUCUCCCCUUUAAGCUAAGUGAAAUUGAAAUCGUAGUGAAGAUGCUAUGUACCUUCAGCAAGACGGAAAGACCCUAUGCAGCUUUACUGUAAUUAGAUAGAUCGAAUUAUUGUUUAUUAUAUUCAGCAUAUUAAGUAAUCCUAUUAUUAGGUAAUCGUUUAGAUAUUAAUGAGAUACUUAUUAUAAUAUAAUGAUAAUUCUAAUCUUAUAAAUAAUUAUUAUUAUUAUUAUUAAUAAUAAUAAUAUGCUUUCAAGCAUAGUGAUAAAACAUAUUUAUAUGAUAAUCACUUUACUUAAUAGAUAUAAUUCUUAAGUAAUAUAUAAUAUAUAUUUUAUAUAUAUUAUAUAUAAUAUAAGAGACAAUCUCUAAUUGGUAGUUUUGAUGGGGCGUCAUUAUCAGCAAAAGUAUCUGAAUAAGUCCAUAAAUAAAUAUAUAAAAUUAUUGAAUAAAAAAAAUAAUAUAUAUUAUAUAUAUUAAUUAUAAAUUGAAAUAUGUUUAUAUAAAUUUAUAUUUAUUGAAUAUAUUUUAGUAAUAGAUAAAAAUAUGUACAGUAAAAUUGUAAGGAAAACAAUAAUAACUUUCUCCUCUCUCGGUGGGGGUUCACACCUAUUUUUAAUAGGUGUUCACCCCUCUUCGGGGUUCCGGUUCCCUUUCGGGUCCCGGAACUUAAAAAUAAUUAUGGAAAGAAUUAAAUUAAUAUAAUGGUAUAACUGUGCGAUAAUUGUAACACAAACGAGUGAAACAAGUACGUAAGUAUGGCAUAAUGAACAAAUAACACUGAUUGUAAAGGUUAUUGAUAACGAAUAAAAGUUACGCUAGGGAUAACAGGGUAAUAUAACGAAAGAGUAGAUAUUGUAAGUUAUGUUUGCCACCUCGAUGUCGACUCAACAUUUCCUCUUGGUUGUAAAAGCUAAGAAGGGUUUGACUGUUCGUCAAUUAAAAUGUUACGUGAGUUGGGUUAAAUACGAUGUGAAUCAGUAUGGUUCCUAUCUGCUGAAGGAAAUAUUAUCAAAUUAAAUCUCAUUAUUAGUACGCAAGGACCAUAAUGAAUCAACCCAUGGUGUAUCUAUUGAUAAUAAUAUAAUAUAUUUAAUAAAAAUAAUACUUUAUUAAUAUAUUAUCUAUAUUAGUUUAUAUUUUAAUUAUAUAUUAUCAUAGUAGAUAAGCUAAGUUGAUAAUAAAUAAAUAUUGAAUACAUAUUAAAUAUGAAGUUGUUUUAAUAAGAUAAUUAAUCUGAUAAUUUUAUACUAAAAUUAAUAAUUAUAGGUUUUAUAUAUUAUUUAUAAAUAAAUAUAUUAUAAUAAUAAUAAUUAUUAUUAUUAAUAAAAAAUAU